RNAcentral lists this ribosomal RNA (343 nucleotides) under Ochromonas sp. CCMP1393. RNAcentral's name for it is "partial Bacterial small subunit ribosomal RNA". It matches the Rfam family "Bacterial small subunit ribosomal RNA", at positions 1050 to 1393 of the family's 1533-position model. The record is from RNAcentral. Lineage: Eukaryota; Chrysophyceae; Chromulinales; Chromulinaceae.
UGUCGUCAGCUCGUGCCGUGAGGUGUUGGGUUAAGUCCCGCAACGAGCGCAACCCACGUCUUUAGUUGCCAGCAUUUAGUUGGGCACUCUAGAGAGACCGCCGGUGAUAAACCGGAGGAAGGUGUGGAUGACGUCAAGUCAUCAUGCCCCUUACAUCCUGGGCUACACACGUACUACAAUGCUACGGACAAAGGGCAGCAAGUUCGCGAGGACAAGCAAAUCCCAUAAACCGUGGCUCAGUUCAGAUCGUAGGCUGCAACUCGCCUACGUGAAGGAGGAAUCGCUAGUAAUCGCAGGUCAGCACUACUGCGGUGAAUACGUUCCCGGGCCUUGUACACACCGC